GGUGAGACCACUGCAUAGCAACCAGUCACUAUCUCAUCAAGCUUACUACUAUGUAGCUAUGAAAUUCAAAGACCUUUAUCAAUCCAUCACGGGUCGUAAGCUUUUUGUUUGGCAAGCUAGAGCAAGGGACCGAGUGACUAUUGACGAGGCAUUCAAGUAUAUAAGAGAAGUUGUCAAGUGGGAUGAGGAGAAAGAGGAGAACUACUAUGGUGGACCUGAGGAUUCCUUCUAUAGCACAGAUGUGAGCUCAUCUCCAUUUGUUAGACAACAAUGAUUCUUGUACUAGUUUCAUAGAUAAUGUCUAAAGGAAGCCUAAAAAAGAAAGAAAAAAAC
Molecule: unclassified non-coding RNA, 333 nt
Filed under: Hevea brasiliensis (rubber tree)
Lineage: Eukaryota; Viridiplantae; Streptophyta; Magnoliopsida; Malpighiales; Euphorbiaceae
Source: RNAcentral